Molecule: transfer RNA, 61 nt
Filed under: Ipomoea nil (Japanese morning glory)
Lineage: Eukaryota; Viridiplantae; Streptophyta; Magnoliopsida; Solanales; Convolvulaceae
Rfam family: tRNA
About the family: Transfer RNA (tRNA) molecules are approximately 80 nucleotides in length. Their secondary structure includes four short double-helical elements and three loops (D, anti-codon, and T loops). Further hydrogen bonds mediate the characteristic L-shaped molecular structure. tRNAs have two regions of fundamental functional importance: the anti-codon, which is responsible for specific mRNA codon recognition, and the 3' end, to which the tRNAs corresponding amino acid is attached (by aminoacyl-tRNA synthetases). tRNAs cope with the degeneracy of the genetic code in two manners: having more than one tRNA (with a specific anti-codon) for a particular amino acid; and 'wobble' base-pairing, i.e. permitting non-standard base-pairing at the 3rd anti-codon position.
Source: Rfam by way of RNAcentral
GCUUCCAUAGUAUAGUGGUAGUGCGUUUGCUUCGUAAGCAAAAGGUCAUAAUUUGGGAGCU